ACCUGGCUGGCUCAGUCAGUAGAGCACGUGACUCUUGAGCUCAAGGGUGUGAGUUCGAACCCCAUGUUGGGUA
This 73-nucleotide transfer RNA is filed under the name Felis catus (domestic cat). It matches the Rfam family "tRNA". From Rfam's summary of the family: Transfer RNA (tRNA) molecules are approximately 80 nucleotides in length. Their secondary structure includes four short double-helical elements and three loops (D, anti-codon, and T loops). RNAcentral also lists the same sequence under 1 other name. Lineage: Eukaryota; Metazoa; Chordata; Mammalia; Carnivora; Felidae. The record is from Rfam by way of RNAcentral.